CCGAGCGUUNUCCGGAUUUAUUGGGCGUAAAGCGAGCGCNGGCGGUUAGAUAAGUCUGAAGUUAAAGGCUGUGGNUUAACCAUAGUACGCUUUGGAAACUGUUUAACUUGAGUGCAAGAGGGGAGAGUGGAAUUCCAUGUGUAGCGGUGAAAUGCGUAGAUAUAUGGAGGAACACCGGUGGCGAAAGCGGCUCUCUGGCUUGUAACUGACGCUGAGGCUCGAAAGCGUGGGGAGCAAACAGGAUUGGAUACCCUGGUAGUCCACGCCGUAAACGAUGAGUGCUAGGUGUUAGACCCUUUCCGGGGUUUAGUGCCGCAGCUAACGCAUUAAGCACUCCGCCUGGGGAGUACGACCGCAAGGUUGAAACUCAAAGGAAUUGACGGGGGCCCGCACAAGCGGUGGAGCAUGUGGUUUAAUUCGGAGCAACGCGAAGAACCUUACCAGGUCUUGACAUCCCUCUGACCGCUCUAGAGAUAGAGUUUUCCUUCGGGACAGAGGUGACAGGUGGUGCAUGGUUGUCGUCAGCUCGUGUCGUGAGAUGUUGGGUUAAGUCCCGCAACGAGCGCAACCCCUAUUGUUAGUUGCCAUCAUUCAGUUGGGCACUCUAGCGAGACUGCCGGUAAUAAACCGGAGGAAGGUGGGGAUGACGUCAAUCAUCAUGCCCCUUACGACCUGGGCUACACACGUGCUACAAUGGCUGGUACAACGAGUCGCAAGCCGGUGACGGCAAGCUAAUCUCUUAAAGCCAGUCUCAGUUCGGAUUGUAGGCUGCAACUCGCCUACAUGGAGUCGGAAUCGCUAGUAAUCGCGGAUCAGCACGCCGCGGUGAAUACGUUCCCGGGCCUUGUACACACCGCCCGUCACACCACGAGAGUUUGUANCACCCGAAGUCGGUGAGGUAACCAUUNGGAGC
This 913-nucleotide ribosomal RNA is filed under the name uncultured bacterium. RNAcentral describes it as "bacterial SSU rRNA". It matches the Rfam family "Bacterial small subunit ribosomal RNA", at positions 534 to 1449 of the family's 1533-position model. The record is from RNAcentral.